GAAAAACUAGUUAAAAAAUAACAUAAGAUUGUCAAUCCUAAAUUAUCAUAUUAAAAUGAUGUUUUUCA
Molecule: transfer RNA, 68 nt
Filed under: Sternaspis scutata
Lineage: Eukaryota; Metazoa; Annelida; Polychaeta; Terebellida; Sternaspidae
Also listed under: 2 other names
Description: tRNA-Asp
Source: RNAcentral